GACGAACGCUGGCGGCGUGCUUAACACAUGCAAGUCGAACGGAAAGGCCCUGCUUUUGUGGGGUGCUCGAGUGGCGAACGGGUGAGUAACACGUGAGUAACCUGCCCUUGACUUUGGGAUAACUUCGGGAAACUGGGGCUAAUACCGGAUAGGAGCUCCUGCUGCAUGGUGGGGGUUGGAAAGUUUCGGCGGUUGGGGAUGGACUCGCGGCUUAUCAGCUUGUUGGUGGGGUAGUGGCUUACCAAGGCUUUGACGGGUAGCCGGCCUGAGAGGGUGGCCGGCCACAUUGGGACUGAGAUACGGCCCAGACUCCUACGGGAGGCAGCAGUGGGGAAUAUUGCACAAUGGGCGGAAGCCUGAUGCAGCAACGCCGCGUGCGGGAUGACGGCCUUCGGGUUGUAAACCGCUUUCGCCUGUGACGAAGCGUGAGUGACGGUAAUGGGUAAAGAAGCACCGGCUAACUACGUG
RNAcentral lists this ribosomal RNA (468 nucleotides) under uncultured bacterium. RNAcentral describes it as "partial 16S ribosomal RNA". It matches the Rfam family "Bacterial small subunit ribosomal RNA", at positions 28 to 507 of the family's 1533-position model. The record is from RNAcentral.